Citrus sinensis (sweet orange) is the source of this 107-nucleotide non-coding RNA. The record is from Rfam. Lineage: Eukaryota; Viridiplantae; Streptophyta; Magnoliopsida; Sapindales; Rutaceae.
CAGCCACAAUGAGGACAUUUCCUGAGUAACUCCUUGAAUCUUUCUCAUGCAUCAUGCAAGCUCUCAUCUUCAAGUUGAUAGAAAGAUGUGAUCUCAUUCCUCAAUUU